RNAcentral lists this ribosomal RNA (513 nucleotides) under uncultured bacterium. RNAcentral describes it as "partial 16S ribosomal RNA". It matches the Rfam family "Bacterial small subunit ribosomal RNA", at positions 28 to 523 of the family's 1533-position model. The record is from RNAcentral.
GACGAACGCUGGCGGCAUGCCUAAUACAUGCAAGUCGAGCGAACAGAUGAAGUGCUUGCACUUCUGACGUUAGCGGCGAACGGGUGAGUAACACGUAAGGAAUCUGCCUAUAAGCGGGGGAUAACAUUCGGAAACGGGUGCUAAUACCGCAUAAUAUCUUCUUCCGCAUGGAAGAAGAUUGAAAGACGGCUCUGCUGUCACUUAUAGAUGACCUUGCGGUGCAUUAGUUAGUUGGUGGGGUAACGGCCUACCAAGACGAUGAUGCAUAGCCGACCCGCGAGGGGGAUCGGCCACAUAGGGACUGAGACACGGCCCAAACUCCUACGGGAGGCAGCAGUAGGGAAUCUUCCGAUAUGGGCGAAAGCCUGACGGAGCAAUGCCGCGUGAGUGAAGAAGGCCUUCGGGUCGUAAAACUCUGUUAUAAGAGAAGAACAAAUUGUAGAGUAACUGCUACAGUCUUGACGGUAUCUUAUCAGAAAGCCACGGCUAACUACGUACCAGCCGCCGCGGUAA